RNAcentral lists this ribosomal RNA (251 nucleotides) under uncultured bacterium. RNAcentral's name for it is "partial 16S ribosomal RNA". It matches the Rfam family "Bacterial small subunit ribosomal RNA", at positions 524 to 773 of the family's 1533-position model. The record is from RNAcentral.
GACGAGGGAUCCCUAGCGUUGUUCGGAAUCACUGGGCAUAAAGCGCACGUAGGCGGCUGACUAAGUCAGAUGUGAAAUCCCUCGGCUCAACCGGGGAACUGCGUCUGAUACUGGUCGGCUUGAGAACGGUAGGGGUGAGCGGAACUCCAGGUGGAGCGGUGAAAUGCGUAGAUAUCUGGAGGAACACCGGUGGCGAAAGCGGCUCACUGGACCGUCACUGACGCUGAGGUGCGAAAGCUAGGGUAGCAAAC